GAUGAACGCUGGCGGCGUGCUUAACACAUGCAAGUCGAGCGGAAAGGCCCUGCUUGCAGGGUACUCGAGUGGCGAACGGGUGAGUAACACGUGGGUGAUCUGCCCUGCACUUCGGGUUAAGCCUGGGAAACGGGGCCUAAUACCGGCUAGGAGCCAUCUUUAGUGUGGUGGUUGGACAGAUUUUUCGGUGUCGGAUGAGCUCGCGGCCUAUCAGCUUGUUGGUGGGGUAAUGGCCUACCAAGGCGGCGACGGGUAGCCGGACUGUGAGGGUGGACGGCCAUCCUGGGACUUACAGACGGCCCAGGCGCCGAAUGUUGGCAGCCGUGGGGAAGCUUGCACAAUCGACGCGAGCCUGAUGCAGCAAGCCCGCGGAGUGUAUAACGCCCUACGGGUUGGAGACUCGUUUCGCUAGGAACGCAGCUUUUUUUGACGGUACCUAGAUAAGAAGCACCGGCUAACUACGUG
This 465-nucleotide ribosomal RNA is filed under the name uncultured bacterium. RNAcentral's name for it is "partial 16S ribosomal RNA". It matches the Rfam family "Bacterial small subunit ribosomal RNA", at positions 28 to 507 of the family's 1533-position model. The record is from RNAcentral.